UUGAUGGAGAGUUUGAUUCUGGCUCAGAACGAACGCUGGCGGCGUGGAUAAGACAUGCAAGUCGAACGAGAGAAUUGCUAGCUUGCUAAUAAUUCUCUAGUGGCGCACGGGUGAGUAACACGUGAGUAACCUGCCCCGAGAGCGGGAUAGCCCUGGGAAACUGGGAUUAAUACCGCAUAGUAUCGAAAGAUUAAAGCAGCAAUGCGCUUGGGGAUGGGCUCGCGGCCUAUUAGUUAGUUGGUGAGGUAACGGCUCACCAAGGCGAUGACGGGUAGCCGGUCUGAGAGGAUGUCCGGCCACACUGGAACUGAGACACGGUCCAGACACCUACGGGUGGCAGCAGUCGAGAAUCAUUCACAAUGGGGGAAACCCUGAUGGUGCGACGCCGCGUGGGGGAAUGAAGGUCUUCGGAUUGUAAACCCCUGUCAUGUGGGAGCAAAUUAAAAAGAUAGUACCACAAGAGGAAGAGACGGCUAACUCUGUGCCAGCAGCCGCGGUAAUACAGAGGUCUCAAGCGUUGUUCGGAAUCACUGGGCGUAAAGCGUGCGUAGGCUGUUUCGUAAGUCGUGUGUGAAAGGCGCGGGCUCAACCCGCGGACGGCACAUGAUACUGCGAGACUAGAGUAAUGGAGGGGGAACCGGAAUUCUCGGUGUAGCAGUGAAAUGCGUAGAUAUCGAGAGGAACACUCGUGGCGAAGGCGGGUUCCUGGACAUUAACUGACGCUGAGGCACGAAGGCCAGGGGAGCGAAAGGGAUUAGAUACCCCUGUAGUCCUGGCAGUAAACGGUGCACGCUUGGUGUGCGGGGAAUCGACCCCCUGCGUGCCGGAGCUAACGCGUUAAGCGUGCCGCCUGGGGAGUACGGUCGCAAGAUUAAAACUCAAAGAAAUUGACGGGGACCCGCACAAGCGGUGGAGUAUGUGGCUUAAUUCGAUGCAACGCGAAGAACCUUACCUGGGCUUGACAUGUAAUGAACAACAUGUGAAAGCAUGCGACUCUUCGGAGGCGUUACACAGGUGCUGCAUGGCCGUCGUCAGCUCGUGUCGUGAGAUGUUUGGUUAAGUCCAGCAACGAGCGCAACCCCUGUUGCCAGUUACCAGCACGUGAAGGUGGGGACUCUGGCGAGACUGCCCAGAUCAACUGGGAGGAAGGUGGGGACGACGUCAGGUCAGUAUGGCCCUUAUGCCCAGGGCUGCACACGUACUACAAUGCCCAGUACAGAGGGGGCCGAAGCCGCGAGGCGGAGGAAAUCCUGAAAACUGGGCCCAGUUCGGACUGUAGGCUGCAACCCGCCUACACGAAGCCGGAAUCGCUAGUAAUGGCGCAUCAGCUACGGCGCCGUGAAUACGUUCCCGGGUCUUGUACACACCGCCCGUCACAUCAUGGAAGCCGGUCGCACCCGAAGUAUCUGAAGCCAACCGCAAGGAGGCAGGGUCCUAAGGUGAGACUGGUAACUGGGAUGAAGUCGUAACAAGGUAGCCGUAGGGGAACCUGCGGCUGGAUCACCUCCUUU
This 1511-nucleotide ribosomal RNA is filed under the name Akkermansia muciniphila. RNAcentral's name for it is "bacterial SSU rRNA". It matches the Rfam family "Bacterial small subunit ribosomal RNA". The record is from RNAcentral. Lineage: Bacteria; Pseudomonadati; Verrucomicrobiota; Verrucomicrobiia; Verrucomicrobiales; Akkermansiaceae.